RNAcentral lists this ribosomal RNA (497 nucleotides) under uncultured bacterium. Its description in RNAcentral is "partial 16S ribosomal RNA". It matches the Rfam family "Bacterial small subunit ribosomal RNA", at positions 28 to 507 of the family's 1533-position model. The record is from RNAcentral.
GAUGAACGCUGGCGGCGUGCCUAAUACAUGCAAGUCGAGCGAACGGACGAGAAGCUUGCUUUUCUGAUGUUAGCGGCGGACGGGUGAGUAACACGUGGAUAACCUACCUAUAAGACUGGGAUAACUUCGGGAAACCGGAGCUAAUACCGGAUAAUAUUUUGAACCGCAUGGUUCAAAAGUGAAAGACGGUCUUGCUGUCACUUAUAGAUGGAUCCGCGCUGCAUUAGCUAGUUGGUAAGGUAACGGCUUACCAAGGCAACGAUGCAUAGCCGACCUGAGAGGGUGAUAGGCCACCCUGGAGCUUGGACGCGGUCCAGACUCCUACGGUAGGCCGCAGUAGGGAAUCUUCCGCAGUGGGCGAAAGCCUGACGGAGCAACGCCGCGUGAGUGAUGAAGGUCUUCGGAUCGUAAAACUCUGUUAUUAGUGAAGAACAUAUGUGUAAGUAACUGUGCACAUCUUGACGGUACCUAGUCAGAAAGCCCCGGCUAACUACGUG